Molecule: ribosomal RNA, 142 nt
Filed under: uncultured Alphaproteobacteria bacterium
Lineage: Bacteria; Pseudomonadati; Pseudomonadota; Alphaproteobacteria
Description: partial 16S ribosomal RNA
Rfam family: Bacterial small subunit ribosomal RNA
Source: RNAcentral
AGCGUUGCUCGGAAUCACUGGGCGUAAAGCGCACGUAGGCGGGUCGUUAAGUCAGGGGUGAAAUCCUGGAGCUCAACUCCAGAACUGCCUUUGAUACUGGCGAUCUCGAGUUCGGGAGAGGUGAGUGGAACUGCGAGUGUAG